RNAcentral lists this transfer RNA (68 nucleotides) under Helochares lividus. RNAcentral's name for it is "tRNA-Leu". The record is from RNAcentral. Lineage: Eukaryota; Metazoa; Arthropoda; Insecta; Coleoptera; Hydrophilidae.
UUAAAGUUACUUUGGCAGAUUAGUGCAUUAAAUUUAGAAUUUAAAUAUGUAUAUUAUACAGGUAAUAU